AACGAACGCUGGCGGCGCGUCUUAAACAUGCAAGUCGAACGAUCUGUAGCAAUACAGGGAGUGGCGGACGGGUGAGGAACACGUAGGAAUCUACCUUGAAGAGCGGGACAACUUUGGGAAACCGGGGCUAAUACCGCAUAGUACAGAGAUGUUAAAGGGCUAGCAAUAGUCGCUUCGAGAUGAGCCUGCGGUCUAUCAGCUUGUUGGUGAGGUAAUGGGCUCACCAAGGCUACGACGGAUAGCCGGUCUGAGAGGAUGAUCGGCCACACUGGCACUGAGACACGGGCCAGACUCCUACGGGAGGCAGCAGUUAAGAAUCUUGCGCAAUGGGGGAAACCCUGACGCAGCGACGCCGCGUGAAGGAUGAAGGCUUUCGGGUUGUAAACUUCGGUAGACUGGGAAGAAGAAAUACGUUCGUUGAGGGCGUAUAGUGACGGUACCAGUCUGAAGCCCCGGCUAAUUACGUGCCAGCAGCCGCGGUAAU
RNAcentral lists this ribosomal RNA (484 nucleotides) under uncultured bacterium. RNAcentral describes it as "bacterial SSU rRNA". It matches the Rfam family "Bacterial small subunit ribosomal RNA", at positions 29 to 524 of the family's 1533-position model. The record is from RNAcentral.